UCAGACAUGGUGUAGGGAACACUGUCUCGAAGCAUACACAUCAAUGUAAGAUGCGAGGUCGUCCCAGGUUCGAUUCCUGGUGUCUGAA
Molecule: non-coding RNA, 88 nt
Organism: Mycena capillaripes
Lineage: Eukaryota; Fungi; Basidiomycota; Agaricomycetes; Agaricales; Mycenaceae
Source: the annotation of a GenBank genome assembly